UAGUGAUGCAAUGAUUUCCACUCAUCAUUAGGUUUAUAAAACAUGAUCAUCUCAUGUUUCCAAACCUUGAAGAGGGGAUCCAUCUUUUCACCACCUCAGUUACCUUUGUUGAAGUUCAGGUUGAACAAGAUCCCUCAAAAACAAAUCCCAGCUGCAGCUUGAACAAACUGUUGCUCCCAGUGUGGAGGAAGAGAAAGUCCAGAUCUAAGAGGAGACGCAGAGAUUCAGGGAGGAGCUGAGCUGCUACUGAACUAUAGAAGAGAGAGGAGCUUCCAUAUUCAGACCAGUUCAAUCUACAAAGCACCAACAUCACCUGGAUUCAACAUGCUCUCACUGCAUCAGGCUCUAUCUUCUCUACUGCUUCUCUCCACUCUAACAGCAAUCAGCUGUGAAGAACUCACACCGGUCCACAAUGAAGAGUUCAGUGCAGAAGGCAGCUCUGUUACUCUGUCCUAUAACUCCUCCAAAGUGAACCCAGGGGAUUAUUUCUUCUGGUAUCGACAGAAUCCAGGACAAGCUCCAGAGUUCCUCCUCUCACACUCUGCUUCAGGACAAAUACUAGCGGCUCCAACCUCUGGACUGAAGAUCCAAGUGGAGCAGAACCAAAUCCACAUGAUCAUCUCCUCUGCUGCAGUGACAGACUCUGCUGUGUACUACUGUGCUGUGAGGCCCACAGUGACAGGAAACUACACAACUCUGUACAAAAACUCCAGCUGCCAGAAGCCUCCUCUCCUCACUGCUCACCUCAGCUUCUUCCCUCCACUAGAGGGCGAUAUAAGUCAGUAGGUGUGCGUGAUAACUGCUGUGAGGAGACCACGUGUCAGACUGAAGGUUGAACCUCAGCGAGUUCCUCCUGUGGAGUUAAACCUUGUUGUGGAGAUGGAUCAUCGGCUCUGGAUGAUUCUUGCUGCUCUGGUCUUUAGUAAGAAAGAAAACACAACAUGAUUCCUCGUGAAGCAGUUGAACAUGUUACUGAUCUGGUGUCAGUCAGAAAUCCUCUUUCUUGAUUUG
Pleuronectes platessa (European plaice) is the source of this 1011-nucleotide non-coding RNA. Lineage: Eukaryota; Metazoa; Chordata; Actinopteri; Pleuronectiformes; Pleuronectidae. The record is from the annotation of a RefSeq genome assembly.